AGUGAAGCGGCAACAGCUCAGAUUUGAAAUCUGGCCCUUACGGGGUCCGAGUUGUAAUCUGUAGAGGAUGCUUUUGGCGACGCGCCUUCCGAGUCCCCUGGAACGGGGCGCCAGAGAGGGUGAGAGCCCCGUAUGGUUGGACGCCGAACCUCUGUAAAGCUCCUUCGACGAGUCGAGUAGUUUGGGAAUGCUGCUCAAAAUGGGAGGUAAAUUUCUUCUAAAGCUAAAUACCGGCCAGAGACCGAUAGCGCACAAGUAGAGUGAUCGAAAGAUGAAAAGCACUUUGAAAAGAGGGUUAAAUAGCACGUGAAAUUGCUGAAAGGGAAGCGCUUGUGACCAGACUUGCGCCCGGUUGAUCAUCCAGCGUUCUCGCUGGUGCACUCUGCCGGGCUCAGGCCAGCAUCGGCUCUCCCAGGGGGAUAAAGGUCGCGGGAACGUAGCUCUCUCCGGGGAGUGUUAUAGCCCGUGGCGGAAUGCCCUUAGGGGGGGCCGAGGCCCGCGUUCGCAAGGAUGCUGGCGUAAUGGUCACCAGCGACCCGUCUUGAAACACGGACCAAGGAGUCAAGCAUUAGGGCGAGUCUUUGGGUGCAAAACCCGCAGGCGCAAUGAAAGUGAACGGAGGUGAGAGCUUCGGCGCAUCAUCGACCGAUCCUGAUGUUCUCGGAUGGAUUUGAGUAAGAGCCUUACCGCUUGGACCCGAAAGAUGGUGAACUAUGCCUGAAUAGGGUGAAGCCAGAGGAAACUCUGGUGGAGGCUCGCAGCGGUUCUGACGUGCAAAUCGAUCGUCAAAUUUGGGCAUGGGGGCGAAAGACUAAUCGAACCAUUAACUACUACUAGGUGGUUAAGAGGCCCGGUCCAAAAGAUCAGGCCUAGUUGACAGCGCUUAUGGUGUUGUUAGCGACACUGUCAAACUGCCGGGGACUGCCUGAUCGAGGUUAAGCUACCGCUGG
This 950-nucleotide ribosomal RNA is filed under the name Distoseptispora aquatica. Its description in RNAcentral is "partial large subunit ribosomal RNA". It matches the Rfam family "Eukaryotic large subunit ribosomal RNA", at positions 92 to 1008 of the family's 3401-position model. Lineage: Eukaryota; Fungi; Ascomycota; Sordariomycetes; Distoseptisporaceae. The record is from RNAcentral.